Molecule: unclassified non-coding RNA, 218 nt
Filed under: Hevea brasiliensis (rubber tree)
Lineage: Eukaryota; Viridiplantae; Streptophyta; Magnoliopsida; Malpighiales; Euphorbiaceae
Source: RNAcentral
GUGAGUAUGUGUUUAUGUGUAAAAGUUGCUCUCAUCGAAGCCGAAGAACGGUUUUGUUUGUUGCUCUCUUUCUCUCUCUAAGAACCCAUCUGAAAUUCCAAUUUUGCCCUUCUAGAUAGUGGCGAAAACCGGUUUUGUAGAGGGAGAAAGUUGUAAUUUUACAUUUUUUUCCCUUUGAGAUAUAGGGGAGAGAGGAAAAAAAAAGUAAAAAAAAAAAA